This 433-nucleotide ribosomal RNA is filed under the name uncultured bacterium. RNAcentral describes it as "partial 16S ribosomal RNA". It matches the Rfam family "Bacterial small subunit ribosomal RNA", at positions 29 to 507 of the family's 1533-position model. The record is from RNAcentral.
AACGAACGCUGGCGGCAUGCCUAACACAUGCAAGUCGAACGAGACCUUCGGGUCUAGUGGCGCACGGGUGCGUAACGCGUGGGAAUCUACCCUCAGGUUCGGAAUAACUCAGAGAAAUUUGAGCUAAUACCGGAUGAUGACGUAAGUCCAAAGAUUUAUCGCCUGAGGAUGAGCCCGCGUAGGAUUAGGUAGUUGGUGAGGUAAAGGCUCACCAAGCCGACGAUCCUUAGCUGGUCUGAGAGGAUGAUCAGCCACACUGGGACUGAGACACGGCCCAGACUCCUACGGGAGGGAGCAGUGGGGAAUAUUGGACAAUGGGCGAAAGCCUGAUCCAGCAAUGCGGCGUGAGUGAUGAAGGCCUUAGGGUUGUAAAGCUCUUUUACCCGGGAUGAUAAUGACAGUACCGGGAGAAUAAGCACCGGCUAACUCCGUG